UACGGAGAGUGCGAGCGUUGUCCGGAAUCACUGGGCGUAAAGGGCGCGUAGGCGGCGCGAGUAGUCAACGGUGAAAGCCCGGGGCUCAACCCCGGGUCGGCCGUCGAUACUCUCGUGCUUGAGCACUGUAGAGGCAGGUGGAAUUCCGGGUGUAGCGGUGGAAUGCGUAGAGAUCCGGAAGAACACCGGUGGCGAAGGCGGCCUGCUGGGCAGUAGCUGACGCUGAGGCGCGACAGCGUGGGGAGCAAACAGG
RNAcentral lists this ribosomal RNA (253 nucleotides) under uncultured bacterium. Its description in RNAcentral is "partial 16S ribosomal RNA". It matches the Rfam family "Bacterial small subunit ribosomal RNA", at positions 524 to 776 of the family's 1533-position model. The record is from RNAcentral.